UGAAUAGGUAGAGGAAAAUGAUUGCUGGUUAGUAGUAUAUAAAUUCAGAGUCAGGAAUGAUGGUGAUGUCGGCUGGGUGCGGUGGCUCACGCCCGUAAUUCCAAUGUGAUACCCUACCUUGUUUUUAAUCUGAUUGACUCUCCCUUAGCUGAGAGAGCCAGGCAGACUCUAUUUUGGCUUCUUCGCUUGCAGUCCCUCACCCACCCCCCUUCCUCAAGGACUUAAGCUGACUCCCAGCGCAUCCAAGAAUGCAAUUACUGAUAAGAUACUGUGGCAAGCUAUAUCCACAGUUCCCAGGAAUUCGUCCGGUUGAUAGCACCCAAAGCCCCUGUGUCUAUCACCUUGUGAUAGAUUUAAAGCCCCUGCACCUGGAACUGUUUGUUUUCCUUUUACCAUUUAUCUUUUUCACUUUCUUGCCUGUUUUGUUUCUGGAAAAUUGCUUCAGCUCGGCUCCCUCUUCCCCUUCUAAACCAAGGUAUAAAAAGAAACCUAGCCCCUUCUUUGGGGUCGAGAAAAUUUUGAGCGCUAGCCAUCUCUCAGUCGCCAGCUAAUAAAGGACUCCUGAAUUAGUCUAAGAGUGUGGCGUUUCUCUAUAACUCACUCGGUUACAACAUUUGGAGGCCACAGCGAGAUCCGCCACCGGGUGAAAUCUGGACCCGUUCCGGGCUCCCCUGGACAGACGGCGAGCUUAUAGGGGAGGCGCCACCUAAAGACGUUCCAGGGCCAUGUAGGCCACCGUCUUCCAGAUGGGGACAGAUCGGCUGCCGGUGUGCUCAACCAAAUUCAACUCCUGAGUCCUCAGUUUCUGGUCCCGGGAAGAGCCUGCCCUCACCCGUGAAGAGCAACACAAUCUGCCGGUCAUGGGAACAGGGAACGUCAACCUUGCAGCAGGGUUUGGACACAUAGGAAGCCGGACUGCAUGUGGAAACUCUAAAGGUGCAGAAAAAGGACUCCAGGGCACUGACUUUUACCUCUGUCUUGGAAAUCACCCUGACUGAAGUUGUCAAGAUUCUUAUCAGUUUUUCUGCCCUCACUGGUCCUGUGUAACCCUAGCCACUUACCCUGGAGGAUCAACCCAGUCCUCAACCCUCUCCAUAACUCGCACUUCCCAUCCUAGACUGUGUACUAUGAGAAAUUGUAACCCUCUUACUAUAACUAUCCGUAACCCUGGUACAGCUCAAUGGUAUUAUGGCAUGUCAUGGGGAUUAAGGCUUUAUAUCUCAGGAUUUAAUGUUGGAACUAUGUUCACCAUCCAGAAAAAAAUCCUGGUCCCAUAGAGCUCUGCUAAGCCAAUCGGACCUUUAACUGAUUUAGGUAAUCCUAUGUUCCCAAAACACCCAGACAGGGUCGAUUUAACUUUCCCACCGCCGUUCCUGGUUCCUAAACCUCAGCUGCAACGACAACACCUCCAACCCAGCCUGAUGUCCAUUCUGGACAGGGUACAUCACCUCCUUAAUCUCACCCAGCCUCAACUAGCCCGAGAUUGUUGGUUGUGCCUGAAGGCCAAACCCCCAUAUUAUGUUGGAUUAGGAGUAGAAGCUAUGCUUAAAAUGGGCUUUCUUUCGCCAGGCACAGUGGCUCACGCCUGUAAUCCCAGAACUUUGGGAGGCCGAGGUGGGUGGAUCAUGAGGUCAGGAGAUCGAGACCAUCCUGGCUAACACAGUGAAACCCUGUCUGUACUAAAAAUACAAAAAAUUAGCUGGGCGUGGUGGUGGGCGCCUGUAGUCCCAGCUACUCAGGAGGCUGAGGCAGGAGAAUGGCGUGAACCCGGGAGGCAGAGCUUGCAGUGAGCCACGAUUGUGCCACUGCAUUCCAGCCUGGGCAACAGAGCGAGACUCUUCCUCAAACAAAACAAAACAAAACAAAAUAAAAUGGGCUCUCUUUCUUGUCA
Long non-coding RNA from Gorilla gorilla gorilla (western lowland gorilla), 1891 nucleotides. RefSeq lists it as uncharacterized. Lineage: Eukaryota; Metazoa; Chordata; Mammalia; Primates; Hominidae. The transcript is spliced from 2 exons. The record is from RefSeq and is a predicted model, not a curated record.